RNAcentral lists this ribosomal RNA (520 nucleotides) under uncultured Glomeraceae. Its description in RNAcentral is "SSU rRNA". It matches the Rfam family "Eukaryotic small subunit ribosomal RNA", at positions 569 to 1092 of the family's 1831-position model. Lineage: Eukaryota; Fungi; Glomeromycota; Glomeromycetes; Glomerales; Glomeraceae. The record is from RNAcentral.
AGCAGCCGCGGUAAUUCCAGCUCCAAUAGCGUAUAUUAAAGUUGCUGCAGUUAAAAAGCUCGUAGUUGAAUUUCGGGACUAAUAUGACGGUCGUGCCUCGGUACGUACUGGCUUAUUGGUUUCUCCUUUCUGAAGAACCAUGAUGUCAUUUAUUUGGUGUCGUGGGGAAUCAGGACUGUUACUUUGAAAAAAUUAGAGUGUUUAAAGCAGGCUCACGCUUGAAUACAUUAGCAUGGAAUAAUGAAAUAGGACGUUUGAUUCUAUUUUGUUGGUUUCUAGGAUCGACGUAAUGAUUAAUAGGGAUAGUUGGGGGCAUUAGUAUUCAAUUGUCAGAGGUGAAAUUCUUGGAUUUAUUGAAGACUAACUACUGCGAAAGCAUUUGCCAAGGAUGUUUUCAUUAAUCAAGAACGAAAGUUAGGGGAUCGAAGACGAUCAGAUACCGUCGUAGUCUUAACCAUAAACUAUGCCGACUAGGGAUCGGAUGAUGUUAAUUUUUUAAUGACUCAUUCGGCGCCUUACG